CAGCCCCACUCUGCCCCAGCCCAGCCCAGCCCAGCCCAGCCCAGCCCAGCCCUACCAGUCCCACCAGGUGACGUCAUCAGGCCAGAGGCAGCCAACACCCAGCCACAGAGGACUAGGCAGGCAGCAGGAAACGCCACAAAUCAUCCAGCUGAGCUCCGGCUGAGACACGGCCCAGCUCCGGCUGACACGCGGCCCAGCUCCGGUUGAGACGCGGCCCAGCAAGGCCUGGUGAGUGGGGCCCUGCCCCCGGCUUCCUCUUGGUGGACGGGCAUCUGCGUCUCCCACGAUCACCUCCAGAAGGGAGUAAAGGGGUGUGUAUGCCCGCCCGCGCGUGCUCACCUCCAGAAGGGAGUAAAGGGGUGUGUAUGCCCGCCCGCCCGCCCGUGCGUGUGUCAGUCGCUAGUUUCUCUUGGCAGGGGGAUUUGGGAGUGGGAGUGUUUCUCUGCAGAGAGUCAGAACCUACUCAACAUGACGCACACAAUGACGCCUGGAGGGAAAAAAACAAACAUCUGUUUGUUUGGUAUCCUGGGGAUAAACACUGCUGUUUGUGUGUGUGUGUGUGUGUGUGUGUGUGUGUGUGUGUGAGGUCAACCCUGAGAAAGUGCCUUGAGGGUCUUUCCCAUAGAGGGCAGAGAGUGGAGUCUGUACUCCUCCACCACCGCAGGCCCCGGAGCUGGGCUGGGCUUCCCCUGAACCUACCCAGGGAUCAGGCACUUUCUCUGGGGCUGGCCGUCGGAGCACAGGGCCUCACUGCAGUGGGCGUCUGGCCGUCGGAGCACAGGGCCAUCGGAGCACAGGGCCUCACUGCAGUGGGCGUCCCAGUCAUGGGUGUGAUGGCGAGCAGACGCUACGGGCUCUGUGUGGGAACAGGACUUUCAAACAAAUAAACAAGAAAAAAAAACUAGAGAGAGAGAGAGAUGGAUGAGAGGGGACAUCAGCUGUUCCUUAAAAUUCUCUCCAACCUCAAGUUCAGCCCCACUCUCACACACACACACACACACACACACACACACACACACUUGAAGAGUAUGGCACAGUGAGUUGUUCAGAUGGGCUUGUGCGCUGCAAUCAGUUCCUAUCUACACGGAUCUCUUCCUGCUCCGGGCCUAUGGAGCACACCACGAUCCUGUGCUGCCACCUAGUGUCCCAUGAAAGCAUUACAGAAGACUCACUACAGGGGCUGAUGGAAAAUCUUUUUUCUUUUUUGAAACUGGUUCAGCACAAGGUGUCAUAACAUCAGCAGACAAAAUGAAACAAAGAUGGAUGUACACAGGCCCAGACACACAAACACACCCCCAUGCUAACCCACACACACACACACACACACACACACACACACACACACACACACACACACACACACACACACACACACACACACACACGCUAACCCACACAUACACAUAAACAUAAACAUAAACACACACACACACACACACACACACACACGCACAAAGACCAACAAUGCCAAAAAAAAGUGCAUCCAAACACAUUGAUGGACUGGUUGUUUUCCGUGUGUCAUAUGCAUAUUUUAUUUGGGGUCAGGGGUCAGUCACUGCAGGCGUCUGCUCUGCACCGUUUGGGUGCGUUCUGACUCUGGCUCCGGGGUCAAGGUCAACCGGGGUCGUCUGACUCGAGCACUGCCGCACGAACCAGCCGGCUCCGGCCCGGGUCCGGCCCGGCUGUGGUCCAGCUCCGGUCAGGCCCAGAUCCCGUCCACCAGAUCCAGGUUCUGUCUGGGAGAGGUCAGAGGUCAGGGUGGUUUGGCUCCGCACUGUACCACACUACUCUGGACCAGACCGGUGCUCCAUCAGUGCCAGCUCCCUCCCUUCCAGGCCUGGCCCAAAGUCGUCUGGGGUAUCUUCUGUGGAGGGGGGGGGG
Clupea harengus (Atlantic herring) is the source of this 1881-nucleotide long non-coding RNA. The record is from Ensembl. NCBI's taxonomy places the organism in Eukaryota, Metazoa, Chordata, Actinopteri, Clupeiformes, Clupeidae.